UACGGAGGGCGCAAGCGUUAUUCGGAUUUACUGGGCGUAAAGCGCGUGUAGGCUGUUUAGUAAGUUUGGUGUGAAGGUCCACGACUCAAUCGUGGAAGUGCACUGGAUACUGCUAGACUAGAGUGUAGGAGAGGAGAACGGAAUUCCUGGUGUAAAGGUAAAAUUUGUAGAGAUCAGGAGGAACAACGGUGGCGAAGGCGGUUCUCUGGACUAUUACUGACGCUGAGACGCGAAAGUGUGGGGAGCAAAC
Molecule: ribosomal RNA, 250 nt
Filed under: uncultured prokaryote
Description: partial 16S ribosomal RNA
Rfam family: Bacterial small subunit ribosomal RNA
Source: RNAcentral